This 256-nucleotide ribosomal RNA is filed under the name uncultured bacterium. RNAcentral's name for it is "partial 16S ribosomal RNA". It matches the Rfam family "Bacterial small subunit ribosomal RNA", at positions 524 to 776 of the family's 1533-position model. The record is from RNAcentral.
UACGUAGGGUGCAAGCGUUGUCCGGAAUUAUUGGGCGUAAAGAGCUCGUAGGCGGUCUGUCGCGUCGGCUGUGAAAACCCGAGGCUCAACCUCGGGCCUGCAGUCGAUACGGGCAAACUAGAGUACUGCAGGGGAGACUGGAAUUCCUGGUGUAGCGGUGAAAUGCGCAGAUAUCAGGAGGAACACCGGUGGCGAAGGCGGGGUCUCUGGGCAGUAACUGACGCUGAGGAGCGAAAAGCGUGGGGGAGCGAACAGG